GAGAGUUUGAUCCUGGCUCAGGAUGAACGCUGGCGGCGUGCUUAACACAUGCAAGUCGAACGGGAUCCAGGGGUGCUUGCAUCCUUGGUGAGAGUGGCGAACGGGUGAGUAACACGUGAGUAACCUGUCCUUUUCUUUGGGAUAAGCAUUCGAAAGGGUGUUUAAUACCUUAUGUUCUGUCUGCCUCGCAUGGGGUGGGUGGGAAAGGCUUUGGCUGGAAUUGGGUGGGCUCGCGGUCUAUCAGCUUGUUGGUGGGGUGAUGGCUUACCAAGGCUUUGACGGGUAGCCGGCCUGAGAGGGUGGUCGGUCACAUUGGGACUGAGAUACGGCCCAGACUCCUGCGGGAGGCAGCAGUGGGGGAUAUUGCACAAUGGGCGAAAGCCUGAUGCAGCGACGCCGCGUGGGGGAUGAAGGCCUUCGGGUUGUAAACUUCUUUUGCUCUGAACAAGGCAUGCCUGUGGGGUGUGUUGAGUGUAGGGGUUGAUUAGCGCCGGCUAACUACGUG
RNAcentral lists this ribosomal RNA (505 nucleotides) under uncultured Varibaculum sp. Its description in RNAcentral is "bacterial SSU rRNA". It matches the Rfam family "Bacterial small subunit ribosomal RNA", at positions 8 to 507 of the family's 1533-position model. The record is from RNAcentral. Lineage: Bacteria; Bacillati; Actinomycetota; Actinomycetes; Actinomycetales; Actinomycetaceae.